AGUGCUAGUCCUUCCUCUUUUCACCUUGAUUGUUUUAGUAUUUAUUUACUGAGCAGCUAAAUUUUAAUUUUAUGAUGAGAGGGCUUUGCUAACUGCAAGUAUGCUGUCUUCUAUGAGAACAAGAUUCAAAAUAAAAUUAGUGGUGCUGCUGGGUUCUGGAGAGCAGUGGAUAAGUAAGCAGAAAAAGGGAGCUGUGCCAAGUGGGAGCAACUUACUGUCUCCUACAAGCCCAAUUCUCUGCUACAACUAUUCCAGUGGAUAAUUAUUUUCUAUUUGCCCCUCAGCACUGAAUUUUUCCACGCUCUUGUAUUUGCUGAUUCAGUGAAAAUCACUGCUUGAGAAUUUUAAAAGCAAACUAUUUUAUUUUACACAACUGUGAGUAAUUUUCAGUGUAAGACCUAAUACCAGUUCCAGUUGUUAAAUAAGAGUAAGCAAAUGAUGAGGGUGGUUUUGGGCAGAGUCCUUCUAAGUUGUAAGCGGCUAUUUGUAGUGGAUAUCUUGGAUUCCAGAUAGAUUUCAUAACAGGCGUGCUGCAUUUGAUAGUUUUAAAUUUAGCUUUAAAAACUGAGAAAUAUGAAGUUAAUGUCUGAUUUUAUAUUGUUUAAAUUUCUAUAUGGGAAUUCUCUCAGAGAUGUGUGAAAAUAAUGUUCCAUUACUCCAUCUUUUUUAUUUUGGAGAGCUGGUGAUGGAGCCUUCAAAUUAAAUAGAAACAGUACCCUGAGGUUUUUCUGAAAUUUUAAGCUCAUUUAGUGUUUAAGUUUAAGAAUUAAUUCUGAUGCUUUUCAGUCUCUUGGUACAGUAGCACAGUCUGUAUUGUUAAUUAAGUAUACAUGUGUUCAAUGUGAGAUGGAGAUAAUGUUGUUCUUGUUUCCUAAUAAAUGGAAUGGCAGUCUAAACUUUGAA
This is a long non-coding RNA of Pseudopipra pipra, 903 nucleotides long. RefSeq lists it as uncharacterized. Lineage: Eukaryota; Metazoa; Chordata; Aves; Passeriformes; Pipridae. The record is from RefSeq and is a predicted model, not a curated record. The transcript is spliced from 2 exons.